This 4387-nucleotide long non-coding RNA is filed under the name Sus scrofa (pig). Its description in RNAcentral is "lncRNA (ENSSSCG00030058399.1)". The record is from RNAcentral. Lineage: Eukaryota; Metazoa; Chordata; Mammalia; Artiodactyla; Suidae.
GCAGAGCCUCUAGGGAACUGAUCUGAAUAGGUUAUGUCAUAAACCUGCUCUACCAAAGUCAAGAAAUGACAUUUAAUUCCAAGAAAUGUCAUGGGGAUCUAAAAAGAAAAGGAAAGCAAAGCAAAGACAAGAAAAAGAAAAAGAAAAAGAAAGAAAAGGAGACCAAUCUAAGUGACAGAAAAUGACCCUUGAUAAGAUGAGAAAAUGGAAGCUCAGAGACGUCACAGAAAUGGCCUGAGGUCACAGAGAUGGGAGAGAUGGAAAUCUUGCUAGGUGGACAUGGAAAUGUUCUGGGUUUUCUACGCCAGUAUAGAAGCUAGACACCUGGGAAGAGAAGCAGCUCGUACCUUUAUAUUACCUAAGACCCUGUGACUGUAUAUCCACAUGAUCCACAGGCAAAGAACAACUUCAAGUCCCACUGACAGUGACUUCCUCGAGUGUGUCCUGUAAAUCUCUGUAUCCUCAGAUUCUGGCUCAGUGCUAAUAUGUAGGGUUAGUAUGUAGCAUGAAUUCAAUAAAUAUCUAAGGGUGGGAGAGAGAAAGGGUAAUUCUGCUCAAGACCAGAGACUAUAUAAAAAAUAUUUAACUACAUGGGAGACUCAUAAAACCUAAGGGCAUUAUGUAAAUGCCUAAUGAUAUGACACAUGGUCUGAAAAUUUUUCUCUGACUUUUUGAGGCACUAAAUCAAAAUCAGUGUGUCUUGUAGAUGUCUUAUUCUUCGCCUUUAUCCCGCAGUGUAAACAAAAAGCAAUUUGGUAUUUGCAUGAGUGAAUCAAUUUUCAUUGACUAUUGUCUGGUGUAUUUACUGUGAAGGUAGGAUCCAUCUGAACACACACAAAGGCCCAUCUACAGUCAGCCUUCUGUAUUCUGUUGGUUCUACAUCUAUGGAUCUAACCAACCCCAGAUUAAAAAUAUAGGGGGAAAAUAUUCCAGAAAAAUGCCAAAUACAAAACUAGCAUUUACCAUGCCAGCAGCUAUUUAUGCAGCAAUUUACUUUGUACUAUAUAUAUAUAUAGUGAGUGUGUGUAUGUAUGUUAUCUAGAGAUUAUUUGAAGUAUACAAGAGGAUUGCAUAGGUUAUAUGCAAAUACGAUGCCAUUUUAUAUAAAGGACUUGAGCAUCAGUGGGUUUGGUAUCCAAGGGGGUCCUGGAACCAAUCCCCCUGCAUAUCAAGGGAUGACUGUGUUUAGAAACAGAAACAACCAGAAAAUGGAGCAAAGUGGAGAGGGACAUUGUCGUCUGAUGAGCUGAACAGUACUGAGGAGAAGGUAGGUAUUUUUUUGUCUAAAAUUAGUCCAGGGCAUUUUUAUAGUUCACAUUUUUUUGUCCACUUGGACUCAAUGAAGAUGUCCUUUCUAUACUCAGAAAAAAAGCACUUUUUAUUUUCCAUAAAUAUCUGCCUAAUGCAUAGUAUCCGUUGCCAUUAAGAAAAUUUGGCCAAGUAGAUUUAGGUUAGACUGAAUUCUUUGGGGGAGGAGGAGAAGACUGGAUUAUUCCAGUACUAAGGUAAUUUAAAAUCCAUAAUAAAUAAAGUAAUGAGAUUUCCAGAGAAUCACUUAAGCAGGAAAAAAAAUGGUAUGAAGUUACUAAAUCUGUAGUAGAAUAAGGGCUCUUUAAAAGUUUUCUCUCUUAAUUUAUUGAAUAAUUAUUUCAUCUAUAUUUUCUAGUAAAAAUCUAUCUUUUCUGGUUUUGUAUAAAAUCUAAAUAUUGUUUUGUUGUUUUUAUAAAGUUACUGCUGAAAUUUUAGUGUUUAGAAUCUGCAUAGCAUGGUACAUUAAAUGGAUAUUGAUCUAACAUUAGAAAUAAAAAACAAUACCCAUUAAAUUAAUCAAUAAAGAUUUAAUUCCUGAUGAACUCAGCAGCCUAAGGUGGGGUAUUUGUUUGCUUUUUCUCUUUCCAAGUAAACCAUUUCACGUUAUAGGAAAUAAUCCAACAUUUAAAAGAUUAUACUGGGGAAAAAAAAAACAGCAUUGGUGAAAGCUGCAGUUUGUAAUUGCAAAGUUAAUUAUCUUUCCUAAACCAUCAGUUGUCACUUAGAGAGACCAGAUUCUUGCAGACUCUCCAGGGAUUGCCUUUAUUUCAUUCCUAAUGGCUUGGGACCCACCGUUUUGCUGUCUCUGAACAUUUGGUCACUGAAUGCACCAUUUAUGGAGUAUUGUUUAAUUAAGGACAAAUUAAGAGAACUGUGCACAGAAUUUAAUUUCAUAGACUCUGUAAAUUCUUUUAAAGAGGAUACUAACUAUAGGCAUGAUAAGUUUUCAUUAUCCAUUGCUUCUAUAAGGUAUUGACAAUUUAUUGUUUGCAACAGUUCCAAGUUUUGUUUACUCUUCAGGGGAUUUUGUUGGCACUGUACUUUUUGUGCUUCACAGAAAUCCUAUGGAGGCAUCAGACUCCUCAUUAACCCCUUCGGUUCUGAAUCCACCCAUAUGCAGAAGACCACAUACUUGAAAGACUGCAUUUAACUUUUGUAAAGACUAGAGAUUUACGGCAAGGGUCAAAUAAAAACUGACAUCAUUUGAAUAUGUGCUUAAUGUUCUAGAUCUUGGGAUAUAAAAUAUCUCAAGUGGAUAGUCAUUCAUUCAUUCUUUCAUUUGACAAAUAUUUAUUGAGUGCCUGCUAUGCACCAGGAAAUAGUGUAGUGGAGAAUGCACCAUUUACUAAGAAGUAGAGGAGUUCUGAAAUAUUUUGGUUUUAAAAUUUUGAGAAUAAAUUUUACCAGUAUCCCCACUGCAUCCUCUGAGAAGUCAAGUACAAACAAUAAGUUUUUUUCUUUUUUUCCCCUUUUUUGGCCAUUCCAUGGCAUAUGGAGUUCCCAGGCCAGAGAUCAGAUCCAAGUCAUGGUUGUGACUCAUGGUGCGGCUGGAGCAAUGUGGGAUCUUAAACCCAGUGUGCUGGGCAGAGGAUUAAACAUGCAUCCCAGUGCUCCAGAGACACCGCCAGUUCCACUGCACCACACUGGAAACUCCUAAGGUUUUCUACUAGCACUUUGAUAGUGUAAUUUUUUAUUUGAUAUAAAGUGAAAUCUUAGCCAUCUUAUUGUCCAAAUUCCCAUAUGUUCCUAAUGAGUAAUCUGAGUCACAGAGAUGUUCUUUUACUCGUCCAAGUUUGUCCAACACAUUAGCAUCACUUACCAGAUACUUCAAUCCUCAGAAAUAAAAUUAUUAAAAAAUAAGUUUAAUUAUAAUAAUAAUUAGAACUCUCUCUAAUGUUAGUAUUUGCAUGUAGCAGAAGUUCAACCCACACUCUACUAAGCUAAGUGGAAUUUAUUUUAAGGGUAUAAAAGCUUCAGAACAAACUGACCCCAGGAAUCUGAUCAUCAGGGUUCUUUGCAAUCUUAUAGCUGUGCUCCUUUGGACAGCUCCUUCAUUCUUUCCUUCCUUUGCAGAUAUUUUAAUUUUUUUCUCCGGUCUAUUUGAAAAACAUGGCUGCCAAUAGUUUCUAGAUUUACAAGUUAUAUUUUAGCAACUCAGAGGCACAUUCUCUCUUUCUGUUCCAAAAUUCCCAGGAAGACACUCAUUGGAAAAACGCGAGAGCGGAUAUCUUCCUGAAUCAAUCCAUUACAGCUACUCAGGAAAGAUGUCUUGAGGGCACUGUGAUUAACUCUAUGUCAGAGGCUCAGCUGUGUAUCAGCCAGCUAAUAGGGGGGUUGUUCACUGAGAAAGUACGGGGUGAGUAGGGCAGGAGUAGGGGAAGUGGGGGGGACCUAUGUGUAUUACUUUCUAAUCUGGGUGCUCCUACUAAAGUCAUAGGAGUUUUAGUCUAAAAAUUGAAGACAACUCAAACACCCUUCAACAAUAAAAUGGCUAAAUAGAUUGUGAUGCCUUUAUGUAAUAGUAUACUAUACAGUAAAAGAAAACUAAUGAUGAGUUUCCUAGUGGCCUAGUAGUUAAGGAUCUGGGUUCAAUCCCUGGCCCAGGAACUUCUGCAUGCCACGGGCAUGGCAAAAACAAAGAAAAUUAAUAAAUUGCAGGCACACAAAAUCAUGUGUAUAAGUUUCACAGAGGUAAUUCAUAUACAUGGUCUUUUGGCUAUGAAAAAAAUACACAGGGGGGAAAUGUUAUACUAUAUUAUUCUUUUUAAAUAAAAUUUUAAAAAUAGACAAAGCUAGUGUUUAGUACUUCAUACUUAAGCAGUGAAACUAUUAAUAAAAGCAAGAAAAAACCUUUGAAAAUUCAGGAUUAUCUAUCGGUGGGAUGACGAAAUGAUUAUUGAGAGGGCCCAUGAGAAGAGUUUUGGGGAGCUGGCAAUGUUGUAUUUUUUGAACUUGAGGGACUAACACGGAUAUUCAUUUUGUGAGAAUUCACUGAGCUAUGUACUUAUGUUCUGUGCACUUUUUAUGAGGGAAUUAUGAUUCAUAAUAUACAAUAAACCAAUUUUUCUAACAAGGA